RNAcentral lists this long non-coding RNA (5639 nucleotides) under Monomorium pharaonis (pharaoh ant). RNAcentral describes it as "uncharacterized LOC114255481". The record is from RNAcentral. Lineage: Eukaryota; Metazoa; Arthropoda; Insecta; Hymenoptera; Formicidae.
CAUUUGUGUUGACAAAAUCCAAAAUUAUGAGAAUAUGAAAAGAAUAAGCGUAGCCUCUCCGAGAAAAAUUAUACAGCGUCAAGCAUACUCAGAUAAGAAAAAUUCACUACGUACAAGUUUGAAUUGUGCUACUUGUAUUUACAGAAUAUGUGUUGUCAAAUUAAUAAAAAUGUUUCCAAAUUAGUGAAAAGCAUGUAUCCUACUGCUUGGAAUAAGGUUCGGAUGAUAUUUUGUACAUUUUCUGACUUUAAAAGAAAAAAAAAACAUGUUAUUAUUAAGAAAUAGAGAAAAUAAUAUGUUUUAAUAUUAACAAUAUCCAAUGUUCACAAUAAGUAGUUUUGUGUUCGAUAAGCAUCGAUUUCAGAUGGAAAGAGACAUAUUUAAGCAUCUUAAAGCAUCCGGAAACUACAAGCGCCGAUCCAUUGAGAACCACUGCCGCAAUCAGAAAGCCCAGAUAAGACUGAUGACAAAAUACGGAAACGCUUCCGUAAUUUUAUCACUUCGCACACGCGUGUGCAUUAACGUACGAUGGGAAGGAUGUACGAGGGGAAAGGAAAACAGAUAUUUAAUACACACACAUGAUGGUCCAUUCAUCCCCGUCGGAAUGAUGACUGCGCUGAUCUGCUGAAAUUGUCAUACACACGUGCAUCCGCAUACACACAUUCGCACUCGAUAAUUUAUGAAUUAUAAACUUGUUUUUGUAACCUACUUCUUCCGAAGAAUUGACGGAAGUGCGAUAAAAAAAAAUUUUGAGCAACGUUUGUAUGAAUCAAAACUGCAAACCGAUUAUCAAUUCGUAUUAUCUCAUCCACCGUGUGCAGUGAUUGGAACACGUUACACUGCGACAUACUGUUGAAUUUAGUUGCAUUGUCGUCGACUGGAUUGCGCGAUGUACUGUCAUCGGCAGAACAUUGAAGCGCCAUUUCAUUAGCAAAAGGACAAGAGAAAGCGCGGCCAAUUUCCACAUCACAAUUACGUGUAUUUUACAUCAACGAACGCGUAAUAAAUUUACUUUUGAGUCCCGUAAUUUCUGCAAUUUAUUUCAUCCAUAUUUUUACUCCUUGUGCUGCAUCCGCGAUUUCAUAAUACAGCUGUCGUAUUAUACAGGUUUAUUCAGAAGAGUGAUUUUGGAAGAAGAAUUAUUCCUGCGAUGUAGCACGUGCAUUCAUACAACAUAACGAGAAAUUAAUUCUGUAUGUCGAGCAUUUUUGCAAUUAAAAUGUUAAAUUAUUAAAUAAAAUUUUAUAAUAGGCAAAAUCACUUCUAUUUUAGCUUUCUAAAAUAAUUCGAAGAUUAAAAAAAUUCCACAUUUAAUAAGAUAUUUAAAAUACUUUAAUAAUUGGAACUUUUUUUAACUUUACUUUAAGUUGCUAAUAAAAAACAGUGUCUCUCAAUGUCGUGACAAUUAAAUUGUAGACUCAAGAAAUCACACCAUUUCGCGGAUCACGAAAGAAAGGUGCAAUAAGGCGCGGCUCGUAAUAAGGAAAGACCGUCAAUUUGUCGACCACACUGUAUUUCCGGUGCGAAAUAAGCGGACGCGCUCCUCCUUGCCGUACAAGGAGAUUGACUCAUACGACAACGUAGGAGGAGCCAGAUGAACCUAGCCCACUAUUCAAUACACGAUGAUUCUGUUUGGAAACUAGACUCUCAACCGGUUUAUUCAAUUACCUUACCGCAUUAUAUGUGUAAAUUUAAAAAUACAUCUUUUUCGUCGAUAAAAAAUAUAUAUUCUGUUCUAAUUCGAAAUUUCCUUACAUAUUAUUAAAAUUAUGCAAAUCAAGUUGAUUGUUAAUAGAAAACCUCAAUUUAAUAUAAAAGGAUAAAUUUCUUUUUAUAUUCGCAAUUAAAGCAGUAGUCAUUGGCGCUUAAAUGGGUCCAUUUAAAUUUGACUCCUAGUACAAACUUGCCAAUAACGUGACAAUACUGGUUGAUUUGUUGCCAGGAAGACUAAACAUAUCCUACAUUGUUAUAAUGUUAAAAUUAUAUAUAUAUAAUAUUGUAAAAGUAAUAAUUUUCCGAUCCAAUAAUUUAGAUUAAUUUUUUUAAUCAAAGUGAUUGCUAAUAACAUUUUUUUUAAAUAUAUACUUUUGAAACUGUUUAAAAAAAUAUAUUGAAAAAUUUUUAUAAAAAAUUUCAGGUACAUAAGUUAAAAAAAAAAUACAAACUUAAAGAUUCAAGAAUCUUUGUGUCAAAUGAGUCAACGUUUAACAACCUAUAUUUAACUCAAUUCUUUCACAAAAAUGGUGGGCAAUCGAUUUUCAAUUUAAAAAUUAAUGCAGUUGUAUCAAAAAUUGGAAUUUAUUUCAGGAAUGUUGUUGAAUAGUACUUUAAUUUAAUUUUUCUCACAAAAAUAGUCGGUAACCAAUUUUCAAUUCUUUUUUUGAAAAAUAAAUACCAGUUUGGGCAAAAUUAUAUAAAAAAAUUGAAAUUUACUUAAAAACUUUUCUUUGAUAUAACAAUAAAACUAUCUUAAAAUUAUUUUAUUAGUUUGAUUGUUCUCAGUGAUCGAAAAUAUGCCAAAAUUAAGCGUAUUUAACAGGGAUUGGGUACAUGAACAUUUACGUCGCAUAAUUAGAGCGCCGCUUUUACAAAUCGCAAGAAGAAAAGAGCGCGGAGAUACACAAUGGUUCUCGGUUCUUAAAAGGUAAGCGGCAUUUAUAAUUACCGCACUCCGAUUGUGCGCGAGUUCGGAGAAAAAGAAAGUAUUCUACGGAUCAUAAAACAUUAUGGCAAAUCCGCACUUGAUUUGGUCUCUUCGGCAAAAACAAACCUUACUCAGCGAAUCGUGAUAAACUAUAAGACGAAUUCUGAUUGUUUUUAUAUAAGGUAAAGAAAUAUGCGUAAAAACAAAGCCGUUUCUUUUGUUAUCGAGAUAAGUGUCAAGUCUUUGAAAUUGUAUCUAUUUAUAAAUUAACGUUUCUUAUUCGAUUUAUAAAAACUGAUAGAUACAAAGUAAGAUUAACUAAAUGUUACUAAUUCUUAAUUAUUAAAUGUAAUAACAGUAACUGCUUUGCUUUAUGCUACGUAUAAUAAUUUUUUUAAAAGGCAUCUCGUAAAUUUAAUCUCAUAAAACCCGAUAAGCCAAAAGGCUCGUCUUGCCUUAGAGAGAUUCGAAGAAACGUGUAAAAAGAUACCCCUAGCUCUCGUUCUUCGAUUAUUUUCUAGCCCUUUGGCGUUUGCACACUCAACCCAUCUUAAGAUUCUACGCGAAGAAAGAGAUUGCGAAUGCGUGGUGUUGUAGAGAUGCGAAGAACAGAGAGAGACAGAGAGAAUGGAUGAGAAGAACGUAGGAAUUGCGCUCGCAUGAAAGCGGAGAACGCGAAGAGCGAGGCGGCGAGGAAAGAACGAAAGACAAAGCCACCAUUACUCUUGUCUUCCAGCUGACGGUACGCGUCAUAAAGCUCCUAAUUAUUAAUGUACUUGCUAUAAGAUACGAUCCCGUGGCGCGAAAAAAAGCAAUUUAAUAAAGUCAAAUGACAAUUAUUGUUUUUGUGUAUGGCCAUUUCGUGUGUUAUUCGUACUUUGAAAUUUAUUGAGAGCUCGUUACCGUCGCUCAUUAAUUUUUUGCAUUGGCUAAAAGCUUUCAAAAACUUUCAUUACACUCGGUUCGUCGAAAUAAAGAAACCAUGUAAAACACGCAAAUUUUCAUUAAUUAACAAAAUUUUUUAAUUAUCUCUGUGUCUAUAUUUCAGCAUUCGUAUUAAUAUUUUUAUAUGAAUUUCAAUUAUUUAAUGAUGUAUUUUGUAACACAUACGAUAUUUCUGUCAUUAUCAAGAGUAAUUAAUCAAAGACGUUACAUAUUUUAAUAUAAAUAAUUGUAAUACAAACAAACGUUAUUUCGUUCCAUUUCCUCUUUCUCUCUCUCUCUCUCUCUCUCUCUCUCUCUCUUGCUCGCUGUCGGAUUAAAAAAAAAAAAUAUAAAAUUCUCUGAUUUCAAUAUACAUGUAACAGCACACAUAUGUGCACAUAAAAUAAAAUCAUAUGUAGUUUGAAAACAAAUUUUGAGAAACAAAUUUCUAAUGAAUUUUGAAUCUCUCGACUUCCCAGGCAAGAAAUGGGAUCGGGUAUUAGAGAGGUCAAAAUAGGUUCCCUUUUAACGACAGUGGUCGCAAUUAGAGAUAGUUACAUCGCGUGAAAUCAAAGUACAGGAGCUCGGAGUCGUCUUACAUCAUUAUUCGCUUGCGUUAGAUCGCAAUACAAAGAGAAUAUCACGUGAGCCGCCGCUCCGCGCCUUAAUUCGCUUCUCCUUUGUACCAACGUUAUUCCAUAUCCGGAACCGUCCGGAUAGGAUCCGCAAUCCAAUUCGCGGCGGCGAUUAACUAUUUUACACGGGGGAAAAAAAUCGGUCUCCAUAAGAGAGACGACGGCUUCGUCUUACACUAUAUCCGCACGCGAAUUACCCGGCGCUAUCAUUUCGGAUAUUACAUCCCCGCGAGGCGGCAAUUCUUUCGCAUCCGCUUCGGUUCCGCGUGAAAAAGGAAGAAGCUAAAACGACCGUUCCGAUGUGCGCGCGGUUCCGUAUUUGGGACGAUUUGCGUAUAAACGCCGCGCCCAUAUCUCUCUUUCCCCUCCCCUCCUCGUGGCGAUUCGUUCCGCCAAUUAAUCCACGUAACCGUUUCCUUCGCGCUGUGUUAUUAACGAUUACGGCCUCAAGGGAAACGUCGGUACAUCGAAAUUAUUUAAUAUCUCGACAAAUGGGCCUCUUUGAACGAACAACGGAAUCUGUCGUCCUCGCGCGCGUCUCGGAGGCGCAAAACAGGAGCGUGUAAGAUUUCUGGUCCGAUUACUUUGCUGCAGUCACUCUUUCGUGACACUACAAACAUAAAGAUCUAACGGUUAACGUUAUUCAAAUAAUUAUGCUGAGACAAUUAACCGCAUAUUUAUCCUUAUAUUGUAUAUAAGGGAAAAUAUAAUCAUCUACGAUCUAUAGAAAAGAUUCACGUAUCGUUUACAGUUAUUACCGUUUAUUCUAACGAUCUUUCCAACGUGUACUGAAUUUCUAUAUUCUGUCUAUUCUAUUUAAAAAUUAAAUAUCAUACAUCUCUGAAAAGACGCUACAGCCUGGGAUAAUAAUAUGUUUAAUACAUACGUUAACUUCUAUUCUGUUGAGUUAUAAAUAUCUGCAGAAAUAGAAUGCCAACUAAUGAGAAUUUUAAAUCAAGUUUCAUAUACUACAUGUGUACUUCAAUUAAUUUCUAUGCGUCAUCUCCCCACGCGUCGUCACCUCAACAGGCGAGCGCGAUUUAUAUUUGCAAUGUACCUUCGUUAUUUUUUUCCCCUAAUAUUUUUUCAUCUCUUUUUGCUGUGAAUGCGGAAUCACAGAAAACGCAAUUUCACCGCGCGUGAAAGAAUCGAGUCCCACUGGACAGUCGACUUCAGGUCGGCAUCAUAGGCGGACAGUGAUUUUUAAUUAAAUGCGGGGAUUUCAAUUAAAGCCGUCGACUGGACAGGCAACGUAGGCCCGUCAUUUUCUUUCUCUUCAUUCAUCCGCGCCAUUCACGGAGAGACGAUGGAAACGGGACGAUUCGAAUUUUAAAUCCGCUUCGAAAGCGCCGUAAAUAAUUCAUGUCUUAUCUCCAGAUCGAGAAAGAGAGUUCGAGGAAGAUUUGACAGUGUUAGCAGUGAUUCCGGAUAAGAAG